RNAcentral lists this ribosomal RNA (253 nucleotides) under uncultured bacterium. RNAcentral describes it as "partial 16S ribosomal RNA". It matches the Rfam family "Bacterial small subunit ribosomal RNA", at positions 524 to 776 of the family's 1533-position model. The record is from RNAcentral.
UCCGGAGGAUCCAAGCGUUGUCCGGCUUUCUUGGGUUUAAAGGGUGCGUAGGCGGAUCUUUAAGUCAGUGGUGAAAGCCUGCAGCUUAACUGUAGAACAGCCAUUGAAACUGAAGAUCUUGAAUUAGGUUAAAGUAGGCGGAAUGUAUCACGUAGCGGUGAAAUGCUUAGAUAUGAUACAGAACACCGAUAGCGAAGGCAGCUUGCUGAACCUAUAUUGACGCUGAGGCACGAAAGCGUGGGGAGCGAACAGG